AUACGUAGGGAGCGAGCGUUGUCCGGAAUUACUGGGUGUAAAGGGAGCGCAGGCGGGAGUGUAAGUCAGAUGUGAAAUACAUGGGCUCAACCCAGGGGCUGCAUUUGAAACUGCAUUUCUUGAGUGAAGUAGAGGUAAGCGGAAUUCCUGGUGUAGCGGUGAAAUGCGUAGAUAUAAGGAGGAACACCGGUGGCGAAGGCGGCUUACUGGGCUUUUACUGACGCGGAGGCUCGAAAGCGUGGGGAGCAAACAGGAUUAGAUCCCCUGGUAGUCCACGCUGUAAACGAUGAUUACUAGGUGUGGGGGGACUGACCCCUUCCGUGCCGCAGUUAACACAAUAAGUAAUCCACCUGGGGAGUACGGCCGCAAGGUUGAAACUCAAAUGAAUUGGCGGGG
This 396-nucleotide ribosomal RNA is filed under the name uncultured bacterium. RNAcentral's name for it is "partial 16S ribosomal RNA". It matches the Rfam family "Bacterial small subunit ribosomal RNA", at positions 523 to 918 of the family's 1533-position model. The record is from RNAcentral.